Molecule: non-coding RNA, 27 nt
Filed under: Homo sapiens (human)
Lineage: Eukaryota; Metazoa; Chordata; Mammalia; Primates; Hominidae
Source: RNAcentral
UGAGCAACGUGCGUCAAUGAGGGCAGC